This 253-nucleotide ribosomal RNA is filed under the name uncultured bacterium. Its description in RNAcentral is "partial 16S ribosomal RNA". It matches the Rfam family "Bacterial small subunit ribosomal RNA", at positions 524 to 776 of the family's 1533-position model. The record is from RNAcentral.
UACGUAGGGCGCAAGCGUUGUCCGGAAUUAUUGGGCGUAAAGAGCUCGUAGGCGGCUUGUCACGUCGGGUGUGAAAGCCCGGGGCUUAACCCCGGGUCUGCAUUCGAUACGGGCUAGCUAGAGUGUGGUAGGGGAGAUCGGAAUUCCUGGUGUAGCGGUGAAAUGCGCAGAUAUCAGGAGGAACACCGGUGGCGAAGGCGGAUCUCUGGGCCAUUACUGACGCUGAGGAGCGAAAGCAUGGGGAGCGAACAGG